RNAcentral lists this ribosomal RNA (469 nucleotides) under uncultured bacterium. Its description in RNAcentral is "bacterial SSU rRNA". It matches the Rfam family "Bacterial small subunit ribosomal RNA", at positions 64 to 524 of the family's 1533-position model. The record is from RNAcentral.
GAACCGCACUGAGGUGUACAUACACCUUGAUGGCGAGUGGCGGACGGGUGAGGAAUGCAUCGGAAUCUGCCCAGUCGUGGGGGACAACGCAGGGAAACUUGCGCUAAUACCGCAUACGACCUUCGGGUGAAAGCAGGGGAUCUUCGGACCUUGCGCGAUUGGAUGAGCCGAUGCCGGAUUAGCUAGUUGGCGGGGUAAUGGCCCACCAAGGCGACGAUCCGUAGCUGGUCUGAGAGGAUGAUCAGCCACACUGGGACUGAGACACGGCCCAGACUCCUACGGGAGGCAGCAGUGGGGAAUAUUGGACAAUGGGGGCAACCCUGAUCCAGCAAUGCCGCGUGUGUGAAGAAGGCCUUCGGGUUGUAAAGCACUUUUAUCGGGAACGAAACAUUGUCGGUUAAUACCCGGCAAGACUGACGGUACCCGAGGAAUAAGCACCGGCUAACUCCGUGCCAGCAGCCGCGGUAAU